UGGGGAAUAUUGCGCAAUGGGGGAAACCCUGACGCAGCGACGCCGCGUGUGGGAUGAAGGUCUUCGGAUUGUAAACCACUGUCGCGAGGGACGAAGCUCUGACGGUACCUCGAAAGGAAGCACCGGCUAACUCUGUGCCAGCAGCCGCGGUAAUACAGAGGGUGCGAGCGUUGUCCGGAAUCACUGGGCGUAAAGGGCGCGUAGGCGGCCCGGUAAGUAGGGGGUGAAAUCUCAUGGCUCAACUGUGAGGCUGCCUUCUAGACUGCCAGGCUUGAGCACAGUAGAGGCGAGUGGAAUUCCCGGUGUAGCGGUGGAAUGCGUAGAGAUCGGGAAGAACAUCGGUGGCGAAGGCGGCUCGCUGGGCUGUUGCUGACGCUGAGGUGCGAAAGCUAGGGGAGCAAACGGGAUUAGAUACCCCAGUAGUCCCUGAGCGGGCUGGCAAGGCGCAU
This 449-nucleotide ribosomal RNA is filed under the name uncultured bacterium. RNAcentral's name for it is "bacterial SSU rRNA". It matches the Rfam family "Bacterial small subunit ribosomal RNA", at positions 355 to 825 of the family's 1533-position model. The record is from RNAcentral.